UACGGGGGGGAGCAAGCGUUGUUCGGAUUUACUGGGCGUAAAGGGCGCGUAGGCGGCCAGCGCAAGUCAGUUGUGAAAUCUCCGGGCUUAACUCGGAACGGUCAACUGAUACUGCGCGGCUAGAGUGCAGAAGGGGCAACUGGAAUUCUCGGUGUAGCGGUGAAAUGCGUAGAUAUCGAGAGGAACACCUGCGGCGAAGGCGGGUUGCUGGGCUGACACUGACGCUGAUGCGCGAAAGCCAGGGGAGCGAACGGG
Molecule: ribosomal RNA, 255 nt
Filed under: uncultured bacterium
Lineage: Bacteria
Description: partial 16S ribosomal RNA
Rfam family: Bacterial small subunit ribosomal RNA
Source: RNAcentral